RNAcentral lists this ribosomal RNA (493 nucleotides) under uncultured bacterium. Its description in RNAcentral is "partial 16S ribosomal RNA". It matches the Rfam family "Bacterial small subunit ribosomal RNA", at positions 28 to 507 of the family's 1533-position model. The record is from RNAcentral.
GACGAACGCUGGCGGCGUGCUUAACACAUGCAAGUCGAACGGUGAAGGGACCGGUUUUUGCUGGUUCUGGAUGAGUGGCGAACGGGUGAGUAACACGUGAGUAACCUGCCCCCUUCUUCUGGAUAACCGCAUGAAAGUGUGGCUAAUACGGGAUAUUCUGCGCCUGCUGCAUGGUGGGUGUGGGAAAGAUAUUGUUUCGGUGGGGGAUGGGCUCGCGGCCUAUCAGCUUGUUGGUGGGGUGAUGGCCUACCAAGGCGGUGACGGGUAGCCGGCCUGAGAGGGUGGACGGUCACACUGGGACAGAGACACGGCCCAGACUCCUACGGGAGGCAGCAGUGGGGAAUAUUGCACAAUGGGCGCAAGCCUGAUGCAGCGACGCCGCGUGAGGGAUGGAGGCCUUCGGGUUGUAAACCUCUUUCGCCAGUGAAGCAGGCCUGUCCCUUUUGUGGGUGGGUUGACGGUAGCUGGAUAAGAAGCGCCGGCUAACUACGUG